Molecule: ribosomal RNA, 424 nt
Filed under: uncultured bacterium
Lineage: Bacteria
Description: bacterial SSU rRNA
Rfam family: Bacterial small subunit ribosomal RNA
Source: RNAcentral
GGGGAAUAUUGCGCAAUGGGGGAAACCCUGACGCAGCGACGCCGCGUGGAGGAUGAAGGCUUUCGGGUCGUAAACUCCUGUCAAGAGGGAAGAAACCUGUGAAGAGUAAUAUGCUUCGCAAUUGACGGUACCUCUAGAGGAAGCACCGGCUAAUUCCGUGCCAGCAGCCGGUAAUACGGAAGGUGCAAGCGUUAAUCGGAAUCACUGGGCGUAAAGCGCUCGUAGGUUGCUUUGUAAGUCAGGUGUGAAAUCCCACGGCUCAACCGUGGAAUUGCACUUGAUACUGCAUUGCUUGAGUUCGGGAGAGGGUAGUGGAAUUCCAGGUGUAGGAGUGAAAUCCGUAGAGAUCUGGAGGAACACCGGUGGCGAAGGCGACUACCUGGACCGAUACUGACACUGAGGAGCGAAAGCGUGGGGAGCAAAC